GCGAACGGGUGAGUAACGCGUAGGUAACCUACCUUAUAGCGGGGGAUAACUAUUGGAAACGAUAGCUAAUACCGCAUAAAAGCGGUUGACCCAUGUUAACUAUUUAAAAGGAGCAACAGCUCCACUAUGAGAUGGACCUGCGUUGUAUUAGCUAGUUGGUAGGGUAAAGGCCUACCAAGGCGACGAUACAUAGCCGACCU
RNAcentral lists this ribosomal RNA (200 nucleotides) under Streptococcus equi subsp. zooepidemicus. Its description in RNAcentral is "partial 16S ribosomal RNA". It matches the Rfam family "Bacterial small subunit ribosomal RNA", at positions 98 to 293 of the family's 1533-position model. The record is from RNAcentral. Lineage: Bacteria; Bacillati; Bacillota; Bacilli; Lactobacillales; Streptococcaceae.